ACGGAGGGUGCAAGCGUUAUCCGGAUUCACUGGGUUUAAAGGGUGCGUAGGUGGGUUGGUAAGUCAGUGGUGAAAUCUCCGGGCUUAACUCGGAAACUGCCGUUGAUACUAUCAAUCUUGAAUCUCGUGGAGGUAAGCGGAAUAUGUCAUGUAGCGGUGAAAUGCUUAGAUAUGACAUAGAACACCGAUAGCGAAGGCAGCUUGCUACACGAGUAUUGACACUGAGGCACGAAAGCGUGGGGAUCAAACAGGA
RNAcentral lists this ribosomal RNA (253 nucleotides) under uncultured prokaryote. RNAcentral describes it as "partial 16S ribosomal RNA". It matches the Rfam family "Bacterial small subunit ribosomal RNA", at positions 525 to 777 of the family's 1533-position model. The record is from RNAcentral.